UACAGAGGUCUCAAGCGUUGUUCGGAUUCAUUGGGCGUAAAGGGUGCGUAGGCGGCGCGGUAAGUCGGGUGUGAAAUCUCGGGGCUUAACUCCGAAACUGCAUUCGAUACUGCCGUGCUUGAGGACUGGAGAGGAGACUGGAAUUUACGGUGUAGCGGUGAAAUGCGUAGAUAUCGUAAGGAAGACCAGUGGCGAAGGCGGGUCUCUGGACAGUUCCUGACGCUGAAGCACGAAGGUCAGGGGAGCAAACGGG
Molecule: ribosomal RNA, 253 nt
Filed under: uncultured bacterium
Lineage: Bacteria
Description: partial 16S ribosomal RNA
Rfam family: Bacterial small subunit ribosomal RNA
Source: RNAcentral